AAAGACUUAGGUUAAAUGACCAAGAGCCUUCAAAGCUCUAAGUAGGAGUGAAAACCCCCUAGUCUUUG
This 68-nucleotide transfer RNA is filed under the name Cynoglossus monopus. RNAcentral's name for it is "tRNA-Trp". It matches the Rfam family "tRNA". From Rfam's summary of the family: Transfer RNA (tRNA) molecules are approximately 80 nucleotides in length. Their secondary structure includes four short double-helical elements and three loops (D, anti-codon, and T loops). Lineage: Eukaryota; Metazoa; Chordata; Actinopteri; Pleuronectiformes; Cynoglossidae. The record is from RNAcentral.